UUUAACAAGAAGAAACAGCCGUUUCUCACCUUACAGCAUAGCUAGUUAGGUUAAUUAGUAAUUUAAAUUGUUACUAUUAAGGACGGCAUUCGUGUCGUCCUUUUUAUUAUUG
Molecule: regulatory RNA element, 112 nt
Organism: Clostridium estertheticum
Lineage: Bacteria; Bacillati; Bacillota; Clostridia; Eubacteriales; Clostridiaceae
Rfam family: Ribosomal protein L20 leader
About the family: This family is a putative r-protein leader autoregulatory structure found in B. subtilis and other low-GC Gram-positive bacteria. It is located in the 5' untranslated regions of mRNAs encoding initiation factor 3 followed by ribosomal proteins L35 and L20 (infC-rpmI-rplT). A Rho-independent transcription terminator structure that is probably involved in regulation is included at the 3' end.
Source: Rfam